RNAcentral lists this transfer RNA (82 nucleotides) under Bacillus phage Thurquoise. Its description in RNAcentral is "tRNA-Tyr". Lineage: Duplodnaviria; Heunggongvirae; Uroviricota; Caudoviricetes; Herelleviridae. The record is from RNAcentral.
GGGCGUGCUAUCCUUGGAGAGAUAAGCUGGCUGUAAACCAGUGGCGUAAGCUGAGAAGGUUCGAAUCCUUCCAUUCCCACCA